CCGGAGCUUGCUCCACCGGAAAAAGAAGAGUGGCGAACGGGUGAGUAACACGUGGGUAACCUGCCCAUCAGAAGGGGAUAACACUUGGAAACAGGUGCUAAUACCGUAUAACAAUCGAAACCGCAUGGUUUUGAUUUGAAAGGCGCUUUCGGGUGUCGCUGAUGGAUGGACCCGCGGUGCAUUAGCUAGUUGGUGAGGUAACGGCUCACCAAGGCCACGAUGCAUAGCCGACCUGAGAGGGUGAUCGGCCACAUUGGGACUGAGACACGGCCCAAACUCCUACGGGAGGCAGCAGUAGGGAAUCUUCGGCAAUGGACGAAAGUCUGACCGAGCAACGCCGCGUGAGUGAAGAAGGUUUUCGGAUCGUAAAACUCUGUUGUUAGAGAAGAACAAGGAUGAGAGUAACUGUUCAUCCCUUGACGGUAUCUAACCAGAAAGCCACGGCUAACUACGUGCCAGCAGCCGCGGUAAUACGUAGAGUGGCACGCGUUGUCCGGAUUUAUUGGGCGUAAAGCGAGCGCACGCUGUUUCUUAAGUCUGAUGUGAAAGCCCCCGGCUCAACCGGGGAGGGUCAUUGGAAACUGGGAGACUUGAGUGCA
RNAcentral lists this ribosomal RNA (599 nucleotides) under uncultured bacterium. RNAcentral describes it as "bacterial SSU rRNA". It matches the Rfam family "Bacterial small subunit ribosomal RNA", at positions 73 to 650 of the family's 1533-position model. The record is from RNAcentral.